This 253-nucleotide ribosomal RNA is filed under the name uncultured bacterium. RNAcentral's name for it is "partial 16S ribosomal RNA". It matches the Rfam family "Bacterial small subunit ribosomal RNA", at positions 524 to 776 of the family's 1533-position model. The record is from RNAcentral.
UACAGGGGGCGCGAGCGUUGCUCGGAAUCACUGGGCGUAAAGCGUACGCAGGCGGGCCGUUAAGUCGCAUGUGAAAUCCCGGGGCUCAACCCCGGAAGUGCAUGCGAAACUGGCGGUCUUGAAUACGGGAGAGGUGAGUGGAAUUCCUGGUGUAGAGGUGAAAUUCGUAGAUAUUCGGAGGAACACCAGUGGCGAAGGCGGCUCACUGGUCCAUUACUGACGCUGAGGUGCGAAAGCGUGGGGAGCAAACAGG